UUGUGGGAAAUAAUUCAAAGAAAGAAAAUGACGAAAGCCUUCAAACUACAAUAUGAGAAUCUACCAAAAGGUUUGUGUUCGCCUCAUGAUGUUUGUCUGAAUGAAGUAAAUCGACCGAAAAACAGAUACAAGAAUAUCUGUGCAUUUGACCAUACCAGAGUUAAAUUAGAGAUUGAAAACAAUGAUCCUACUUCCGAUUAUGUCAAUGCCUGUUAUAUCACCGGGUAUGGUAACACAAAGAAUAAAUAUAUAGCUUCACAAGGUCCAAACGAUGUUAAUAUUAACGAAUUUAUGAGGAUGAUAUGGGAUGUGAAGUCAGGAACAAUUGCUAUGGUUACCAAUCCACAAGAACUCGGUCAUGUAAAGUGUUUGAAAUAUUGGCCGACGAAUGGAAAACUGAAAACAUUCAAGAAAAUUUCUGUGAAACUUUUAGCAGAAGAUGUCUUUGCCCAUUUCAUUAUCAGAACAUUGCAGAUAACUAAAGAAGGAUGUAAUCCUCGGACCAUUAAACAUUACCAUUAUACGUCCUGGCCUGAUAAAGGAGUUCCUGCUAAUGCAUCAUCAUUGGUAGAAUUCAGAAACAAGGUGAACAAAUCACCAACAUCACAUCCUGGACC
Patella vulgata (common limpet) is the source of this 617-nucleotide long non-coding RNA. RefSeq lists it as uncharacterized. NCBI's taxonomy places the organism in Eukaryota, Metazoa, Mollusca, Gastropoda, Patellidae. The transcript has 7 exons. The record is from RefSeq and is a predicted model, not a curated record.